This 324-nucleotide ribosomal RNA is filed under the name Elephas maximus (Asiatic elephant). Its description in RNAcentral is "partial small subunit ribosomal RNA". It matches the Rfam family "Bacterial small subunit ribosomal RNA", at positions 870 to 1357 of the family's 1533-position model. Lineage: Eukaryota; Metazoa; Chordata; Mammalia; Proboscidea; Elephantidae. The record is from RNAcentral.
CGCCAGAGAACUACUAGCCAGAGCUUAAAACUUAAAGGACUUGGCGGUGCUUUAUAUCCACCUAGGGGAGCCUGUCUCAUAACCGAUGAACCCCGAUACACCUUACCGUCACUUGCUAAUUCAGUCCAUAUACCACCAUCUUCAGCAAACCCCUAUAGGGCACAAAAGUGAGCUUAAUCAUAACCCAUGAAAAAGUUAGGCCGAGGUGUCGCCUACGUGACGGUCAAAGAUGGGCUACAUUUUCUAUUAUAGAACAGAUAAACGGAUACCACUCUGAAAUAGGUGGUUGAAGGCGGAUUUAGUAGUAAACUAAGAAUAGAGAGC